RNAcentral lists this unclassified non-coding RNA (343 nucleotides) under soil metagenome. RNAcentral's name for it is "partial contains 5.8S ribosomal RNA, internal transcribed spacer 2, and large subunit ribosomal RNA". The stretch from base 1 to 120 matches the Rfam family "5.8S ribosomal RNA", at positions 35 to 154 of the family's 154-position model. The record is from RNAcentral.
GAUGAAGAACGUAGCAAAAUGCGAUAAGUAAUGUGAAUUGCAGAAUCCAGUGAAUCAUCGAAUCUUUGAACGCACAUUGCGCCCGCCAGCAUUCUGGCGGGCAUGCCUGUUCGAGCGUCAUUUCAACCCUCGACCUCCCUUUGGGGAAGUCGGCGUUGGGGACCGGCAGCACACCGCCGGCCCUGAAAUGGAGUGGCGGCCCGUCCGCGGCGACCUCUGCGUAGUAAACCAACUCGCACCGGAACCCCGACGUGGCCACGCCGUAAAACACCCAACUUCUGAACGUUGUCCUCGAAUCAGGUAGGACUACCCGCUGAACUUAAGCAUAUCAAUAAGCGGAGGA